RNAcentral lists this ribosomal RNA (491 nucleotides) under uncultured bacterium. RNAcentral's name for it is "partial 16S ribosomal RNA". It matches the Rfam family "Bacterial small subunit ribosomal RNA", at positions 29 to 507 of the family's 1533-position model. The record is from RNAcentral.
GUGAACGCUGGCGGUAGGCCUAACACAUGCAAGUCGAACGGCAGCACAGUAAGAGCUUGCUCUUACGGGUGGCGAGUGGCGGACGGGUGAGGAAUACAUCGGAAUCUACUUUUUCGUGGGGGAUAACGUAGGGAAACUUACGCUAAUACCGCAUACGACCUACGGGUGAAAGCAGGGGAUCUUCGGACCUUGCGCGAUUGAAUGAGCCGAUGUCGGAUUAGCUAGUUGGCGGGGUAAAGGCCCACCAAGGCGACGAUCCGUAGCUGGUCUGAGAGGAUGAUCAGCGACACUGGAACUGAGACACGGUCCAGACUACUACGGGAGGCAGCAGUGGGGAAUAUUGGACAAUGGGCGCAAGCCUGAUCCAGCCAUACCGCGUGGGUGAAGAAGGCCUUCGGGUUGUAAAGCCCUUUUGUUGGGAAAGAAAAGCAGCAGGUUAAUACCCCGCUGUUCUGACGGUACCCAAAGAAUAAGCACCGGCUAACUUCGUG